RNAcentral lists this ribosomal RNA (441 nucleotides) under uncultured bacterium. Its description in RNAcentral is "partial 16S ribosomal RNA". It matches the Rfam family "Bacterial small subunit ribosomal RNA", at positions 338 to 795 of the family's 1533-position model. The record is from RNAcentral.
CCUACGGGAGACAGCAGUGGGGGAUAUUGCACAAUGGGGGGAACCCUGAUGCAGCGACGCCGCGUGGGUGAAGGAGUGCUUCGGCAUGUAAAGCCCUAUCGGCAGGGAAGAAGCAAGACGGUACCUGACUAAGAAGCCCCGGCUAACUACGUGCCAGCAGCCGCGGUAAUACGUAGGGGGCGAGCGUUAUCCGGAUUCCCUGGGUGUAAAGGGAGCGUAGACGGCCAUGCAAGCCAGGGGUGAAAGCCCGGGGCCCAACCCCGGGACUGCCCUUGGAACUGUGCGACUAGAGUGCGGGAGGGGCAGGCGGAAUUCCUGGUGUAGCGGUGAAAUGCGUAGAUAUCAGGAGGAACAACGGCGGCGAAGGCGGCCUGCUGGACCGCGACUGACGUUGAGGCUCGAAAGCGUGGGGAGCGAACAGGAUUAGAUACCCCUGUAGUC